Molecule: small nuclear RNA, 138 nt
Organism: Otolemur garnettii (small-eared galago)
Lineage: Eukaryota; Metazoa; Chordata; Mammalia; Primates; Galagidae
Gene: U4
Rfam family: U4 spliceosomal RNA
About the family: U4 small nuclear RNA (U4 snRNA) is a component of the major U2-dependent spliceosome. The structure of U4 snRNA from yeast and human has been reported.
Source: Ensembl
AGCUUUGUCCAAUGGCAGUAUGGUAGCCAAUGAAGUUUAUCCAAGGCAUGAUUAUUGCUAAGUAAAAACUUUUCCCAGUACCUGCCAUGACAAUUUAAAAUAUAGUUGUCAUUGGCAAUUUUUGACUGUCUGUACAGA